CUUUAUGGCGGCUGUACGUGGGGCACAUUCGUGUGCGCCGGGUUCCCUUGCUCUCGGUCUGUCAACCCACGUAUAGCUGCCACCUUU
Pseudomonas alkylphenolica is the source of this 87-nucleotide non-coding RNA. NCBI's taxonomy places the organism in Bacteria, Pseudomonadati, Pseudomonadota, Gammaproteobacteria, Pseudomonadales, Pseudomonadaceae. The record is from Rfam.